This 3641-nucleotide long non-coding RNA is filed under the name Prunus persica (peach). RNAcentral describes it as "long non-coding RNA (PPER_LNC006666)". The record is from RNAcentral. Lineage: Eukaryota; Viridiplantae; Streptophyta; Magnoliopsida; Rosales; Rosaceae.
UGCCCAUUCAGAUACUAUGCUCAAAUGCCCAAUGCAGCAAGAAAUUUAGGGGGCCACACCUUGUCAAAACAUGAUGUGUAUGAGGAUGGUUGAACUGUUACAUUCUGGAGAAUGUAUACUAAAAGCUAUCAGCCAAUGGUGGCACGCCUAUUUUUACCAAGCUACUAAGAUCACUCUGAGGACUAUUGUUUGGGCCCCAAGUAAACCCUUAACUUAGCGCUUGAUCAACCGCCCACACACUUCUGGGGUGAACAUGAAUUGGGCAUCUCAUAAGCAAUGAGUUCAAUAUAGCAGACCAUAUUUGAAAAUCAUUGAGAAGACAUGUGAAAAUGAACAUGCCAAAUUGCCAACACUAAGUAUAUAUAUUUUUUUGCAUAAACUCAGAAUCAAGAACCACUAAUGGAAUGGAACACCAAAUUUUUCAAAACAAAUCUGUAUUAUUGCACUCACAAAGCUCAAUUACUCUUUAAACCAGAAACAAAAAAAAUUCAUCUUUGCUUUGAUUCAGUGGACCCAAUUUUGGAAGGACUUGCUGGGAUGGGAAAAUAUUCAUUAUUUUCAGAACACAUCAUAAGCAACUUUUUUAAAUAGUGAUACCAAUCCCACAAACUGACCCUAAAUCCAAGUAAGCCUGAGAGAGACUAGAAGGUUCAAACGAAGCCGAGUACAUGCUUUGCUCUUUCUUCCGUUGCUAGAGAAAUUAAAGAGAAAAAUUGGUAGGAAUUUUGUUGGUUUCAGGAACAUGAAGCUUCCCUGGCUGGCCUAUUUCCAAUACCCACAUGUUUUUCAAGUGGUUUCGAAAGACCAUUAUCCUAACUCUUUUUUUCACAGUUUGGCUGUGGCUAUGGCCUCAUAUUAGACUUUGAUUUCAAUCCCUUUUUCUUUUCUUUUUUCUGUUUCCAAUACAUUCCCUCUUUCAUUUUGUUUAUUACAUGAUUCAUAAUUGAUUGCAUGAAUACUUUUUGUUCUUCAAUCAUAUAUAAAAUUGAAAGUGGGUUUAUGUUACGUCAAAACAGAGAUUAGGUGGCUUCUCCUUCAUAUAAUUUAUCAAAUUAAAUCAGAAGUCUCCCAAGGAUCCAUUCAGAAAUGAAAAGUGAUACAAUCCUCUAUCCAAAAAAAGCAUAUGGUACAAUGACCAAAACACCGUUCCCUAUAAGAUUGGCUUCCGCUAAUUAGAAGGCUAGUUAUGUCAUUGAAUUGUAUGGAACACAGCAAGCAACUCACUCCAAGAGGACUGUGGGCCCAAACCAAAUUACGUGGGCUCUCCACAGUGGGGACACGUGGGCUUGUGUGUUGACCGACAAUUGCUGAGCGAAACGUGUAUGGUGGGUAUCCAAUCCAGUUGAUGCCUUAAAUGGGUGGACUGCCAGUGACCUGAGGAAGGUGAAACCCGGAGUCCUACUAAAUACCAAAUUUUUAACAAUAAAAAAAAAUUCUACUUUCAUGUUAUCGCCUCCUGAUUGGUUUCUGUUUGACACUGUGACACUGGAAGAUGCUGAGUCAUGAAGCUUCACGGGGCCCCACCUACCCAAUUAUACAUGCACUUGACACAUGCACCCGACCCAAGUUUGAAUUUUCUUCCCAUCUUUUUGUUUUUAGUUUUUUAGCUUUAUUAGGUGAGCAAAUUAUGAGUGUUAUUAGUAUGUAUAGGAGAAUUGAAUUAUGAUUAAUUUGACUAUUAAAAUGAUGCCACUUGCAAAUCAAUGAUUAAGAGUUCGCUAGCAUCCAAUUAAAAAGAGUUUAAUCUAAGGUAGUGGCACAUACAAAAGUUGAAAACAUGGGUCCUGGGAUUUGCUUAAGCAAACAAAGUUAUGAUUUUGUAGUAAUCCAAUGUAUUAAUGCCUUUUUUUUUUCUUUAUAAAAAAAAAUUUAUGAGGAGAUUGGCUACUCUCAUUAUUAGCGUCAUGCUAUAUCCACAACUUCAAACCGGAAAGACUUAUGCGUGGCAUUCAACUGCCAGUUGCUAUUAGUAUGAAUUUAUGUAGGAAAUUACAUAUUGCAUACCAAUAAGAACUGCUGAUAGCAGGACUCAAACACUAAUUAGACUACACACAGUGCAAAGACUUUACCAACUCAACAAACCUUCAUUCAUUUAAUACUUUAAUACCAUAGCUUCAUUGGGAUUUAAUAAUGUAUUAAUAAUAUAAAUCUUCAAAAUUAAUAUAAAAAGGGUGACACCUUUGUCUUGUAUAUGUGAACAAGUGAGUGGCUUUCCUGUAAUCUCAUCUCAGGACGGAAGGGUUGAAGAAGACAGAGGAGAAGUAAUUAUUGGUUGGCGCUGGCGCGUUAGGCUGCGCAGAAACAAGAGGUACACAGCGCACUAGAGGGAGGGCCAUAGGGUUUUGGCUUUUCCUAUUAAAGCUCAACUCAACUCAACCAAAACCAUAAACAUUCCAACCUCUCGCCUCAUUGUGUUCCAAUUCUCUUCUGCAUCAACUGUGAGAGAAUUUCUACUCGAAUUUCAAGGUAAAGUUCAAAUCUUUUCUUCAAUUCUAGCUGGUUCUUAUUGCUCCUAUAAAACUAUGAAAUUUUGUUUAUUAUCAGUUUUUGUUUCUCAAUAUUUUCUUGUUUGGUUCCCUUGAAAAUUGAAUCUGGGAAAUUUAUAUGAGUUUAAGCAAUGGAAGGCAGGUGGUUUCCAAUUUCCUGAUGGUAUUAUGAAGUCCUGUUUCUCUUCUAAAAUCAGGAAGAAAAAAAAAAAAAUUGACCCGCCCAGGCCACCUAGCGCCUAGGCGCCGCCUAGGCCGAUUUUUCUAACACUGUUUUUAAGAUGUAGAAAUACUUGCUGAAGUUCAUAGCUUGCCAAUAGAAUGAUGCAUAAACUGACAAUAUUGUGAAAUGUUAAAGUUUGCUUGACAGAAUUGUUAUUAUUUAUUGCGAAUAAUAUGCAUUCUUUUUCAAAUUCUUUUGUGAAUCACGCACCAAGUUUAGGCAUGUGAAGGCUCAAAGAUCAUUUCUUUCCUUUAUUCUCUCAGGUCAAAAUCUGAUAUAUUUAUUGGGGAGUUGGAAAGCUUUAACUGAUUGCUAUCUGGUUUCUCGUCCGCCUAAGUUUCAUCUACUUCAUCUUCUUCAGUUUUCUCUGGGUUAUCAAAGAAGAAAACCAGGGAAUGCUGAAAGAUGUGCUUCAAAGUUGACAACUCUCCAUUACUGAUUGAUGAGGUUGUAGCUCUGUUUGAGCUGCCCUUGUUCAUCAAUGAUGAGACUGAACAAACCCACAGUCCAUUCAGAUUCUAUGCUCAAAUGCCCAAUGCAGCAAGAAAUUUAGGGGGCCACACCUUAUCAAAACAUGAUGUCUAUGAGGAUGGUUGAACUUUUACGUUCUUGAGAAUAUAGUUUCUGUAUUAUAUACUACGCUAUCAGGUAGAAGUAGCUUCUGCUGUGUACAAGAAUAGUAGCCUUAAAUGGAAAACAAAGGGAGUGUGUUGAUGCAGCGGUAUGAAAUGGGGAGAUUAUUAGGCCAAGGAACCUUUGCCAAGGUACACCAUGCAAGGAACCUUAAAACUGGCAUCAGUGUGGCAAUUAAGAUAAUUGAUAAAGAAAGGGUCUUGAAGGUUGGGAUGAUUGAUCAGAUUAAGCGAGAAAUUUCUGUCAUGCGACUAAUUAGACAUCCCAAUGUUGUGGAGCUUUAUGAGGUAAUGGCCAGC